AAAAAAAAAAUGCAUAUAUAUUAUAUAUAUUGAAUUUAAAAAAAAAAUAAAACAGAAAAGAAGCAAGUUAGGAAACAAAAUGAGAAAAAGAAAAACAGAGUAAUCAAUCAUGAUAUCACAUGCUACCAGCUCUUCCAGGAGUAGGUUUUGUUGUCUUGAAUUUAGCAAUGUCAACCAGUUCUCCAAACAGCUUGUCUUCUGGCUUGGAAGGCUUCUUAAGUGGCAGGUAAGAUGAAGUGGGAACCUGGUAAGAUGAGUUUCUCACAAUGCUAUCAUCUCUAACGCUCAGGCCAUACAUUUGCUGCUCAAGAUACGGUGUCCCUUGUUGCGGAGCAUAACCAUAGCCAGCCAUUUGGUUGCCAUACAUAUGUUGAGGAUACAUAGAAGCCAUUUGCCCAUGCAUUGGCUGUGGAAGCAUACCCAUAUACUGCCCUCCCUGGACUACUUGAGGAUGCAAACCUAACUGAUUGCUCUGCAUAGCCGGAUUACUAAAUGCAGACAAAUGGCUGGUUGUGAUGGGUUGAAUGUACAUACCCAC
Molecule: unclassified non-coding RNA, 538 nt
Filed under: Hevea brasiliensis (rubber tree)
Lineage: Eukaryota; Viridiplantae; Streptophyta; Magnoliopsida; Malpighiales; Euphorbiaceae
Source: RNAcentral